This is a non-coding RNA of Myodes glareolus (Bank vole), 109 nucleotides long. Lineage: Eukaryota; Metazoa; Chordata; Mammalia; Rodentia; Cricetidae. The record is from RefSeq and is a predicted model, not a curated record.
AUGCUCGCUUCGGUAGCACAUAUACUACUAAAAUUGGACAAUACAGAGAAGAUUAGCAUGGCCUCUGCACAAGGAUGACAUGUAAAUUUGUGAAACAUUCCAUACUUUU